Long non-coding RNA from Malus domestica (apple), 1913 nucleotides. RefSeq lists it as uncharacterized. Lineage: Eukaryota; Viridiplantae; Streptophyta; Magnoliopsida; Rosales; Rosaceae. The record is from RefSeq and is a predicted model, not a curated record.
UUUUUUAUUCUCUUCUCUUCUUCUCUCUUCCCCCUCUCGCUCCUCACCGACGCCGACUUACCGUUCGAACGAGAAACCCAAAAAUCGACGUUUUCUGACGGCUGCCACUGCAACCACAACAAUUCGACUCAAGAGAGUGCUAACAACAACAACAUUCGAGCUUUGCGUGCUCGAAUCUACCCUCGACCGAAGAGUUCCAAAAGCCCAGCUUGCGGUGUUUAUUUUUCCGGGAAUUUCAGGCCUUUCCUACCUUUUUUGGGUCGGAGAGGGUAAUAUUUUUCCUCUACACCCUCGAAUUAUCUUAAAUUGUGAGCUAAUCGGAGUCUGCAAAUUUUUCCACGGCACCACCAUUCCAUCCGCGACGUUUUGCAAAACCCGCUUGACCGAAGGGAAGCCAUUUAUCGUGAUUGCCAAAGAAUCUCUCUUCUGACUGCACAGGUAUGAAAACAAUAGUCCUGACAUCAUCACUGAUACAAAUCCUUGCUAAUUUGUCGUCAUGGUUAAGAUUAUUGUUUCAAUCGGGUUGUGUUUUUGUCAUAAGGAGGAUUUCCGCAGGGUGAGAGAGGAAUUGGCUGAAACUCAUAAACCAAUCAUCGGUGGAAUUGAACGUUAGGAGCAAAACUAUUUUUCAUUAGAUAAGGAGCAAAACUAUUUUUCAUUAGAUAAGGAGUGAGCAAUGUUGAAUGCUAUCAGUUCUCAUAUGCUGCCUUGACAUGAAAACAUAAAUAUUGACGAGAAUUGCACGUCUAUUGCAUGAAAUCAUUUAUUUUCAUCCUAUUUUGCGUGUUUAGGGAACUUGAAUGAAUGGUCAAACUAUACCAUCGUAUGCAUUGGCGUUGAACCGUGCGCAUGCAUCCCUAAUUCGCCGCGGGUGGACGUUAGCCUUUUCUCCUCCCCCUUCAGUACUCAUGUGAGUCUGUGACUCAAGUCUAACACUUAAUCUUCUGUUUGGAAAUGCCUCUGUUUUUUUACUUGCUGAAAACGCCUCUGUCAAAUUUUUUUUAAAGGCCUUUUCUUUGUUUCAUCUUAUCUUCCUCCUUUUCUUUGCCCAGUUAUGCCUAUGUCAUCUCUUUCUAAUUUAAAUGCACUCAUUUAGUCACUCACAUUGUAUCUGAGAGCAGAUGAAAAAAGAGGAAAUAGGGAUUAUAUAUGUAAACUCUCUGUCUCAGCUUUGCUUAUAUGUCCCCCAUUUGUUUUCUUAUUCGUCAAUAUUAGAACUGCCAAUCCAAAUUCACCUAUUUGCUCGUCAUGAGACUAAUUAGAAUUAGCUAUCUUACGGAUGUGUUAAUUAAAAAAAGUCUAGCCAAUUUUUUGCAUGUUUAAGUAGUAGUAAUUAAACUCAAAAGAUGCUCAAGUGCUUGAAUUUUUAACAAUGUUCCAUUAGAGGAUCAAGCAUUGUAACUUAAUGCUGCCUCAUUGGGUUGUCAGCUUUUGUAUGGAUGCAAUUAGUAGAAAUUACGUUUUCAUUGCUACGAACAGUUUUGUUUUCAUUGAUGUCUGGAAAGAUUUGGGAAAACAGGAAGAAUUGUGUAAGAAUGUAGGUUGGUGUAUGUCUAAAAUUACAAGUUUUCUUCAUGCAUGUGUUUUUCUUUCUUCCUAGCUAUCUAUCUGUUGUCUCAGGUUUCAAUUACAUUCACACGAUAUUUUAACGGACUGGGCCAGAAGAACAUCUUUUUGGCAACGAUGAAGAAAGAAGAGUGAAGUCCUGAGGAACAAUCUGAAAGUUGGGACAUGAAAAGCAAAAAUAUUUUGGUGUGUAUUAUAUCUAUAUGAACAGCUUAGUCUCCAACUUUUUUAGCUAUGUAAUGUGUUCUACAAACACCUAUCUUUUAUUCCUUAAUGAACAUAAGGAUGUAAAUAGAGUUUGAUAUGGAUGUAAAUGGAUUUUAACAUAUUCUACACGUUUAACACAA